This 228-nucleotide non-coding RNA is filed under the name Arabis alpina (gray rockcress). RNAcentral's name for it is "Eukaryotic large subunit ribosomal RNA". It matches the Rfam family "Eukaryotic large subunit ribosomal RNA", at positions 3243 to 3401 of the family's 3401-position model. The record is from Rfam by way of RNAcentral. Lineage: Eukaryota; Viridiplantae; Streptophyta; Magnoliopsida; Brassicales; Brassicaceae.
GUCAGUCGUCGCGUUGUGCCCCGCCGUGUGCUGUGCCGGAACGGCUGUGACCAGGGAUUGAAACACCUGAAGUUGCGGCCCCCGGCUUGCAGUAGACCAAGGGUUUUUCGGAGUCGGGACUCGGAAUCGUUUGUAGACGACUUACGUACCUGGCGAGGUGUUGUCAGCGGUAGAGCAGUUAUCACGCUGCGAUCCGUUAAGACUCUGCCUUCCGCUUGGGAGAUUCGU